UAAACUUAGCAUGGAUAGAGUCUAGAAAUAUAUGACACUUGACUAACCGGAGAUAGUGUGAUAGCUUUUGAUUAUCUUUGAAAUGUUCUUAUAUAGGUAAAAGAUGUUGUCGGGAUCUAAUCAAGUAGGUUCUAAUGAGGUAGAAAGUUCUAUUCCACCUACUAACGAGGAAAUUACGCGGAAUGAACCUGGACCGUAAGAAUCUAGAGAAGGAGCACCUAAUUUAUUUCUUCGUAUGAUGCAUGACAUGUACGAUACGCAUUUAAUGGUAAACUCCACAGUUCCACAACCUGAAUCUGCUUACCAUCAAGGUUCAAGUAAGCAAUCUGCUCAUAGAGUGACCAUGUAUAAACUUAGAAAGUGUGAACCUUGGAGUGUGCAUUUUUUCUAACUUUUUCCUCAAGGUUUCAUAAGUUCUCGAUCUAGUUUGGGAUCAUUUUAACAAUUUUUUAAGGCCUUGUAGGCUCGAUUAAGGGAUAAUACGCAUGUGUUUCAAUGAAUUAUGCUAUGAUUUAUCUCAUGUUUGGAAAUUAAUUUUUUAUCUUAUGAUUUUACGGUAAUGCUUGUAACCCUAUUUGAGUGACGAAUACGGUUAGGGGUGUUACAUUUAGUGGUAUCAGAGCAACAAUUUAGUCGAUUCUCAGACUAAACUUAGCAUGUAUAGAGUCUAGAAAUAUACGACACUUGACUAACCGGAGUAGUGUGAUAGCUUUUGAUUAUCUUUGAAAUGCUCUUAUAUAGGUAAAAGAUGUUGUCGAGAUCUAAUCAAGUAGGUUCUAAUGAGGUAGAGAGUUUUAUUCCACCUACUAACGAGGAAAGUACGCGGAAUGAACCUGGACCGUAAGAAUCUAGAGAAGUAGUACCUAAUUUAUUUCUUCGUAUGAUGCAUGACAUGUACGAUGCGAAUUUAAUGGUAAACUCCAUAGUUCCACAACCUCAAUCUCCUCACCAUCAAAGUUCAAGUAAGCAAUGUGCUCAUAGAGUGACCAUGUAUAAAGUUAGAAAGUGUGACCCUUGUAGUGUGCAUUUUUUCUAACUUUUUCCUCAAGGAUUCAUAUGUUCUCGAUUUAGACUGGGGUCAUUUUUAAAAUUUUUUAAGGCCUUGGGGGCUCGAUUAAGGGAAAAUAUGCAUGUGUUUUAAUGAAUUAUGCUAUGAUUUAUCUAAUGUUUGGAAAUGAAUUUUUUCUGUUACGAUUUUACGGUAAUGCUCUAUAACCCUGUUUGAGUGACGAAUACGGUUAGGGGUGUUAUGUUUAGUGGUAUCUCAGCAACAAUUUAGUCGAUUCUCAGACUAAACUUAGCAUGGAUAGAGUCUAGAAAUAUAUAACACUUGGACUAACCAGAGAUAGUGUGAUAGCUUUUGAUUAUCUUUGAAAUGUUCUUAUAUAGGUAAAAGAUGUUGUCGGGAUCUAAUCAAGUGGGUUCUAAUGUGGUAGAGAGUUUUAUUCCACCUACUUACGAGGAAAGUAUGCGGAAUGAACCUGGACCGAAAGGAUCUAGAGAAGUAGCACCUAAUUUAUUUCUUCGUAUGAUGCAUGACAUGUACGAUGCGAAUUUAAUGGUAAACUCCACAGUUCCACAACCUCAAUCUCCUCACCAUCAAGGGUCAAGUAAGCAAUGUGCUCAUAGAGUGACCAUGUAUAAAGUUAGAAAGUGUGACCCUUGUAGUGUGCAUUUUUUCUAACUUUUUCCUCAAGGUUUCAUAUGUUCUCGAUUUAGUCCGGGGUCAUUUUUAAAAUUUUUUAAGGCCUUGAGGGCUCGAUUAAGGGAUAAUAUGCAUGUGUUUCAAUGAAUUAUGCUAUGAUUUAUCUAAUGUUUGAAAAUGAAUUUUUUAUAUUAUGAUUUUACGGUAAUGCUCUGUAACCCUAUUUGAGUGACGAAUACAGUUAGGGGUGUUACGUUUAGUGCUAUUAGAGAAAAAAUUUAGUCGAUUCUCAGACUAAACUUAGCAUGGAUAGAGUCCAGAAAUAUAUGACACUUGACUAACCGGAGAUAGUGUGAUAGCUUUGGAUUAUCUUUGAAAUGUUCUUAUAUAGGUAAAAGAUGUCGGGAUCUAAUCAAGUAGGUUCUAAUGAGGUAGAAAGUUCUAUUCCACCUACUAACGAGGAAAGUACGCGGAAUGAACCUGGACCGUAAGAAUCUAGAGAAGGAGCUCCUAAUUUAUUUCUUCGUAUGAUGCAUGACAUGUACGAUGCGCAUUUAAUGGUAAACUCCACAGUUCCACAACCUGAAUCUGCUUACCAUUAAGGUUCAAGUAAGCAAUCUGCUCAUAGAGUGACCAUGUAUAAACUUAGAAAGUGUGAACCUUGUAGUGUGCAUUUUUUCUAAAUUUUUCCUCAAGGUUUCAUACGUUCUCGAUCUAGUUUGGGAUCAUUUUUACAAUUUUUUAAGGCCUUGAGGGCUCGAUUAAGGGAUAAUAUGCAUGUGUUUCAGUGAAUUAUUCUAUGAUUUAUCUCAUGUUUGGAAAUGAAUUUUUUAUGUUAUGAUUUUACGGUAAUGCUUGUAACCCUAUUUGAGUGACGAAUACGGUUAGGGGUGUUACAUUUAGUGGUAUCAGAGCAACAAUUUAGUCGAUUCUCAGACUAAACUUAGCAUGGAUAGAGUCUAGAAAUAUACGACACUUGACUAACCGGAGAUAGUGUGAUAGCUUUUGAUUAUCUUUGAAAUGCUCUUAUAUAAGUAAAAGAUGUUGUCGGGAUCUAAUCAAGUAGGUUCUAAUGAGGUAGAGAGUUUUAUUCCACCUACUAACGAGGAAAGUACGCGGAAUGAACCUGGACCGUAAGAAUCUAGAGAAGUAGCACCUAAUUUAUAUCUUCGUGUGAUGCAUGACAUGUACGAUGCGAAUUUAAUGGUAAACUCCAUAGUUCCACAACCUCAAUCUCCUCACCAUCAAGGUUCAAGUAAGCAAUGUGCUCAUAGAGUGACCAUGUAUAAAGUUAGAAAGUGUGACCCUUGUAGUUUGCAUUUUUUGUAACUUUUUCCUCAAGGUUUCAUAUGUUCUCGAUUUAGUCUGGGUCAUUUUUAAAAUUUUUUAAGGCCUUGAGGGCUCGAUUAAGGGAUAAUAUGCAUGUGUUUUAAUGAAUUAUGCUAUGAUUUAUCUAAUGUUUGGAAAUGAAUUUUUUAUGUUACGAUUUUACGGUAAUACUCUGUAACCCUGUUUGAGUGACGAAUACGGUUAGGGGUGUUAUGUUUAGUGGUAUCUGAGCAACAAUUUAGUCGAUUCUCAGACUAAACUUAGCAUGGAUAGAGUCUAGAAAUAUAUGACACUUUACUAACCAGAUAUAGUGUGAUAGCUUUUGAUUAUCUUUGAAAUGAUCUUUUAUAGGUAAAAGAUGUUGUCAGGAUCUAAUCAAGUGGGUUCUAAUGAGGUAGAGAGUUUUAUUCCACCUACUAACGAGGAAAGUACGCGGAAUGAACCUGGACCGAAAGAAUCUAGAGAAGUAGCACCUAAUUUAUUUCUUCGUAUGACGCAUGACAUGUACGAUGCGAAUUUAAUGGUAAACUCCACAGUUCCCCAACCUCAAUCUCCUCACCAUCAAGGGUCAAGUAAGCAAUGUGCUCAUAGAGUGACCAUGUAUAAAGUUAGAAAGUGUGACCCUUGUAGUGUGCAUUUUUUCUAACUUUUUCCUCAAGGUUUCAUAUGUUCUCGAUUUAGUCUGGGGUCAUUUUUAAAAUUUUUUAAGGCCUUGAGGGCUCGAUUAAGGGAUAAUAUGCAUGUGUUUCAAUGAAUUAUGCUAUGAUUUAUCUAAUGUUUGAAACUGAAUUUUUUAUAUUACGAUUUUACGGUAAUGCUCUGUAACCCUAUUUGAGUGACGAAUACAGUUAGGGGUGUUACGUUUAGUGCUAUUAGAGCAAAAAUUUAGUCGAUUCUCAGACUAAACUUAGCAUGGAUAGAGUCCAGAAAUAUAUGACACUUGACUAACCGGAGAUAGUGUGAUAGCUUUGGAUUAUCUUUGAAAUGUUCUUAUAUAGGUAAAAGAUGUUGUCGGGAUCUAAUCAAGUAGGUUCUAAUGAGGUAGAAAGUUCUAUUCCACCUACUAACGAGGAAAGUACGCGGAAUGAACCUGGACCGUAAGAAUCUAGAGAAUGAGCACCUAAUUUAUUUCUUCGUAUGAUGCAUGACAUGUACGAUGCGCAUUUAAUGGUAAACUCCACAGUUCCACAACCUGAAUCUGCUUACCAUUAAGGUUCAAGUAAGCAAUCUGCUCAUAGAGUGACCAUGUAUAAACUUAGAAAGUGUG
This 4241-nucleotide long non-coding RNA is filed under the name Gossypium barbadense (sea-island cotton). RNAcentral describes it as "long non-coding RNA (GBAR_LNC014199)". Lineage: Eukaryota; Viridiplantae; Streptophyta; Magnoliopsida; Malvales; Malvaceae. The record is from RNAcentral.